Molecule: ribosomal RNA, 449 nt
Filed under: uncultured bacterium
Lineage: Bacteria
Description: partial 16S ribosomal RNA
Rfam family: Bacterial small subunit ribosomal RNA
Source: RNAcentral
AACGAACGCUGGCGGCAUGCCUAAUACAUGCAAGUCGAACGAGAUCUUCGGAUCUAGUGGCGCACGGUUGCGUAACGCGAGGGAAUCUGCCCCAGUGUUCGGAAUAGCAGCGUGAAACUCCUCCUAAUACCGGAUGCUGUCGUAAGUCCACGGAUUUAUCGACCAGGGAUUAGCCCGCGUAGGAGUAGGUAGUUGGUGGGGUAAAGGCAUACCAAGCCUACGAACUUUAGCGGGCAUGAGAAGAUGAUCAGCCACACUGGUACUGAGACACGGCGCAGACUCCAACGGGAGGCAGCAGUAGGGAAUAUUGGACAAUGGGGGCAACCCUGAUCCAGCAAUGCCGCGUGAGUGAUGAAGGCCUUAGGGUUGUAAAGCUCUUUUACCCGGGAUGAUAAUGACAGUACCGGGAGAAUAAGCCCCGGCUAACUCCGUGCCAGCAGCCGCCGUAA